This 292-nucleotide ribosomal RNA is filed under the name uncultured bacterium. RNAcentral describes it as "partial 16S ribosomal RNA". It matches the Rfam family "Bacterial small subunit ribosomal RNA", at positions 505 to 796 of the family's 1533-position model. The record is from RNAcentral.
GUGUCAGCAGCCGCGGUAAUACAUGGGGUGCAAACGUUGCUCGGAAUUAUUGGGCGUAAAGCGCGCGUAGGCGGUUAUUUAAGUCAGAUGUGAAAGCCCUUGGCUCAACUGAGGAAGUGCAUCUGAGACUGAAUAGCUAGAGUGCGAAAGAGGGUCGCGGAAUUCCCGGUGUAGAGGUGAAAUUCGUAGAUAUCGGGAGGAACACCGGUGGCGAAGGCGGCGACCUGGUUCGAUACUGACGUUGAGGCGCGAAAGCGUGGGGAGCAAACAGGAUUAGAAACCCGCGUAGUCC